RNAcentral lists this ribosomal RNA (466 nucleotides) under uncultured bacterium. Its description in RNAcentral is "partial 16S ribosomal RNA". It matches the Rfam family "Bacterial small subunit ribosomal RNA", at positions 28 to 507 of the family's 1533-position model. The record is from RNAcentral.
GACGAACGCUGGCGGCGCGCCUAACACAUGCAAGUCGAACGAGCGAGAGGAGGUUUACUUUCUCAAGCGAGUGGCGAACGGGUGAGUAACGCGUGAGGAACCUGCCUCAAAGAGGGGGACAACAGUUGGAAACGACUGCUAAUACCGCAUAAGCCCACGACCCGGCAUCGGGUAGAGGGAAAAGGAGCAAUCCGCUUUGAGAUGGCCUCGCGUCCGAUUAGCUAGUUGGUGAGGUAAUGGCCCACCAAGGCGACGAUCGGUAGCCGGACUGAGAGGUUGAACGGCCACAUUGGGACUGAGACACGGCCCAGACUCCUACGGGAGGCAGCAGUGGGGAAUAUUGCACAAUGGGGGAAACCCUGAUGCAGCGACGCCGCGUGGAGGAAGAAGGUCUUCGGAUUGUAAACUCCUGUUGUUGAGGGAGAUAAUGACGGUACUCAACAAGGAAGUGACGGCUAACUACGUG